GGGUUGUGAGGUUAAGCGACUAAGCGUACACGGUGGAUGCCCUGGCAGUCAGAGGCGAUGAAGGACGUGCUAAUCUGCGAUAAGCGUCGGUGAGGUGAUAUGAACCGUUAUAACCGGCGAUUUCCGAAUGGGGAAACCCAGUGUGUUUCGACACACUAUCAUUAACUGAAUCCAUAGGUUAAUGAGGCGAACCGGGGGAACUGAAACAUCUAAGUACCCCGAGGAAAAGAAAUCAACCGAGAUUCCCCCAGUAGCGGCGAGCGAACGGGGAGGAGCCCAGAGCCUGAAUCAGUGUGUGUGUUAGUGGAAGCGUCUGGAAAGGCGCGCGAUACAGGGUGACAGCCCCGUACACAAAAAUGCACAUAUUGUGAGCUCGAUGAGUAGGGCGGGACACGUGGUAUCCUGUCUGAAUAUGGGGGGACCAUCCUCCAAGGCUAAAUACUCCUGACUGACCGAUAGUGAACCAGUACCGUGAGGGAAAGGCGAAAAGAACCCCGGCGAGGGGAGUGAAAAAGAACCUGAAACCGUGUACGUACAAGCAGUGGGAGCCUCUUUAUGGGGUGACUGCGUACCUUUUGUAUAAUGGGUCAGCGACUUAUAUUCUGUAGCAAGGUUAACCGAAUAGGGGAGCCGAAGGGAAACCGAGUCUUAACUGGGCGUUAAGUUGCAGGGUAUAGACCCGAAACCCGGUGAUCUAGCCAUGGGCAGGUUGAAGGUUGGGUAACACUAACUGGAGGACCGAACCGACUAAUGUUGAAAAAUUAGCGGAUGACUUGUGGCUGGGGGUGAAAGGCCAAUCMAAMCGGGAGAUAGCUGGUUCUCCCCGARYGCUAUUUAKGUAGCGCCUMGUGAWUUCAUCUCCGKGGGUACAGCACUGUUUCGGCAAGCGUGUCAUCCCCACUU
Molecule: ribosomal RNA, 903 nt
Filed under: Escherichia coli
Lineage: Bacteria; Pseudomonadati; Pseudomonadota; Gammaproteobacteria; Enterobacterales; Enterobacteriaceae
Description: bacterial LSU rRNA
Rfam family: Bacterial large subunit ribosomal RNA
Source: RNAcentral